CCUACGGGAGGCAGCAGUGGGGAAUAUUGCACAAUGGGGGAAACCCUGAUGCAGCGACGCCGCGUGAGUGAAGAAGUAUUUCGGUAUGUAAAGCCCUGUCAGCAGGGAAGAAAAUGACGGUACCUGACCUAGAAGCCCCGGCUAAAUACGGUCCAGCAACCGCGGGAAUACGUAGGGGGCAAGGGUUUACCGGAUUUACGGGGGGUAAAGGGAGCGUAGGCGGCAGGGCAAGUCUGGAGUGAAAGGCGGGGGCCCAACCCCCGGACUGCUCUGGAAACUGCAAGGCUGGAGUGCAGGAGAGGUAGGUGGAAUUCCUAGUGUAGCGGUGAAAUGCGUAGAUAUUAGGAGGAACACCAGUGGCGAAGGCGGCUUACUGGACUGUAACUGACGUUGAGGCUCGAAAGCGUGGGGAGCAAACAGGAUUAGAUACCCGGGUAGUC
RNAcentral lists this ribosomal RNA (440 nucleotides) under uncultured bacterium. RNAcentral describes it as "partial 16S ribosomal RNA". It matches the Rfam family "Bacterial small subunit ribosomal RNA", at positions 338 to 795 of the family's 1533-position model. The record is from RNAcentral.